This 505-nucleotide ribosomal RNA is filed under the name uncultured bacterium. RNAcentral's name for it is "partial 16S ribosomal RNA". It matches the Rfam family "Bacterial small subunit ribosomal RNA", at positions 28 to 507 of the family's 1533-position model. The record is from RNAcentral.
GACGAACGCUGGCGGCGUGCCUAAUACAUGCAAGUAGAACGCACAGUUUAUACCGUAGCUUGCUACACCAUAGACUGUGAGUUGCGAACGGGUGAGUAACGCGUAGGUAACCUGCCUGGUAGCGGGGGAUAACUAUUGGAAACGAUAGCUAAUACCGCAUAAUAUUAAUUAUUGCAUGAUAAUUAAUUGAAAGGUGCAAUUGCACCACUACCAGAUGGACCUGCGUUGUAUUAGCUAGUAGGUGAGGUAACGGCUCACCUAGGCGACGAUACAUAGCCGACCUGAGAGGGUGAUCGGCCACACUGGGACUGAGACACGGCCCAGACUCCUACGGGAGGCAGCAGUAGGGAAUCUUCGGCAAUGGACGAAAGUCUGACCGAGCAACGCCGCGUGAGUGAAGAAGGUUUUCGGAUCGUAAAGCUCUGUUGUAAGAGAAGAACGGGUGUGAGAGUGGAAAGUUCACACUGUGACGGUAUCUUACCAGAAAGGGACGGCUAACUACGAG